ACAGGCGGCAUGCUACCAUGCAGUCGAACGAUGAACCUCCUUCGGGAGGGGAUUAGUGGCGAACGGGUGAGUAACACGUGGGCAAUCUGCCCUUCACUCUGGGACAAGCCCUGGAAACGGGGUCUAAUACCGGAUAACACUCCUCCUCGCAUGGGGAGGGGUUGAAAGCUCCGGCGGUGAAGGAUGAGCCCGCGGCCUAUCAGCUUGUUGGUGAGGUAGUGGCUCACCAAGGCGACGACGGGUAGCCGGCCUGAGAGGGCGACCGGCCACACUGGGACUGAGACACGGCCCAGACUCCUACGGGAGGCAGCAGUGGGGAAUAUUGCACAAUGGGCGAAAGCCUGAUGCAGCGACGCCGCGUGAGGGAUGACGGCCUUCGGGUUGUAAACCUCUUUCAGCAGGGAAGAAGCGAAAGUGACGGUACCUGCAGAAGAAGCGCCGGCUAACUACGUGCCAGCAGCCGCGGUAAUACGUAGGGCGCAAGCGUUGUCCGGAAUUAUUGGGCGUAAAGAGCUCGUAGGCGGCUUGUCACGUCGAUUGUGAAAGCUCGGGGCUUAACCCCGAGUCUGCAGUCGAUACGGGCUAGCUAGAGUGUGGUAGGGGAGAUCGGAAUUCCUGGUGUAGCGGUGAAAUGCGCAGAUAUCAGGAGGAACACCGGUGGCGAAGGCGGAUCUCUGGGCCAUUACUGACGCUGAGGAGCGAAAGCGUGGGGAGCGAACAGGAUUAGAUACCCUGGUAGUCCACGCCGUAAACGGUGGGAACUAGGUGUUGGCGACAUUCCACGUCGUCGGUGCCGCAGCUAACGCAUUAAGUUCCCCGCCUGGGGAGUACGGCCGCAAGGCUAAAACUCAAAGGAAUUGACGGGGGCCCGCACAAGCAGCGGAGCAUGUGGCUUAAUUCGACGCAACGCGAAGAACCUUACCAAGGCUUGACAUACACCGGAAACGCGACUCAGAGAUGGUCCCCCCCUUGUGGUCGGUGUACAGGUGGUGCAUGGCGUCUCAGCUAUCCU
RNAcentral lists this ribosomal RNA (1012 nucleotides) under Streptomyces sp. RNAcentral describes it as "bacterial SSU rRNA". It matches the Rfam family "Bacterial small subunit ribosomal RNA", at positions 35 to 1065 of the family's 1533-position model. The record is from RNAcentral. Lineage: Bacteria; Bacillati; Actinomycetota; Actinomycetes; Kitasatosporales; Streptomycetaceae.